Non-coding RNA from Xyrichtys novacula (pearly razorfish), 274 nucleotides. NCBI's taxonomy places the organism in Eukaryota, Metazoa, Chordata, Actinopteri, Labriformes, Labridae. The record is from the annotation of a GenBank genome assembly.
ACGACGAGACCCCACAUAAACAGAGAAGAUUAUUCAUAUCUAAUUUGGAUCCGAGUGAAGCUGAUACAAUAAAACAGCCGGACGAGAAAGGAAACUAAAGAUUACUCGACAUAUAAAGUUUUUCGACGAGUUAAGUUUUACUAAGCGUACAGACCUCCAUGUAACACGGUUUAGUUUUAACACGGUAUUAAUCUGACCUUUUACAGAGAGAGACAGAACUUGCAUACCCUACACAUCACCAAUUUGACCACCAACCAACUUCACAGAGGGUAAU